Molecule: ribosomal RNA, 892 nt
Filed under: uncultured Anaeromyxobacter sp.
Lineage: Bacteria; Pseudomonadati; Myxococcota; Myxococcia; Myxococcales; Anaeromyxobacteraceae
Description: bacterial SSU rRNA
Rfam family: Bacterial small subunit ribosomal RNA
Source: RNAcentral
AACGAACGCUGGCGGCGUGCCUAACACAUGCAAGUCGAGCGAGAAAGCCCGCAAGGGUGAGUACAGCGGCGCACGGGUGCGUAACACGUGGAUAAUCUGCCCUGAAGUCCGGAAUAACUCGCCGAAAGGCGUGCUAAUGCCGGAUAAGACCACGGGAGCCUCGGCUCCUGCGGGAAAAGGUGGCCUCUGUAUACAAGCUACCGCUACAGGAUGAGUCCGCGGCCCAUCAGCUAGUUGGCGGGGUAAGAGCCCACCAAGGCUACGACGGGUAGCUGGUCUGAGAGGACGAUCAGCCACACUGGAACUGAGACACGGUCCAGACUCCUACGGGAGGCAGCAGUGGGGAAUCUUGCGCAAUGGGCGAAAGCCUGACGCAGCAACGCCGCGUGUGUGAUGAAGGUCUUCGGAUCGUAAAGCACUGUCGCGAGGGACGAAUAAGGGGCGGGUUAACAUCCCGUUCCGAUGACGGUACCUCGAGAGGAAGCACCGGCUAACUCUGUGCCAGCAGCCGCGGUAAUACAGAGGGUGCAAGCGUUGUUCGGAAUUAUUGGGCGUAAAGCGCGUGUAGGCGGCUUUGUAAGUUGGGUGUGAAAGCCCUCGGCUUAACCGAGGAAGUGCGCCCAAAACUGCAUGGCUUGAGUACCGGAGAGGGUGGCGGAAUUCCCGGUGUAGAGGUGAAAUUCGUAGAUAUCGGGAGGAACACCAGCGGCGAAGGCGGCCACCUGGACGGAUACUGACGCUGAGACGCGAAAGCGUGGGGAGCAAACAGGAUUAGAUACCCUGGUAGUCCACGCUGUAAACGAUGAGCGCUAGGUGUUGUGGGUGUUGACCCCUGCAGUGCCGCAGCUAACGCAUUAAGCGCUCCGCCUGGGAAGUACGGCCGCAAGGCUAA